CCUACGGGGGGCUGCAGUGGGGAAUAUUGGACAAUGGGCGAAAGCCUGAUCCAGCCAUGCCGCGUGUGUGAAGAAGGCCUUCGGGUUGUAAAGCACUUUCAGUGGGGAAGAAAGCCUUGGGGCUAAUACCCUCGAGGAAGGACAUCACCCACAGAAGAAGCACCGGCAACUCCGUGCCAGCAGCCGCGGUAAUACGGAGGGUGCGAGCGUUAAUCGGAAUUACUGGGCGUAAAGCGCGCGUAGGCGGUCUGAUAAGCCGGUUGUGAAAGCCCCGGGCUCAACCUGGGAACGGCAUCCGGAACUGUCAGGCUAGAGUGCAGGAGAGGAAGGUAGAAUUCCCGGUGUAGCGGUGAAAUGCGUAGAGAUCGGGAGGAAUACCAGUGGCGAAGGCGGCCUUCUGGACUGACACUGACGCUGAGGUGCGAAAGCGUGGGUAGCAAACAGGAUUAGAUACCCGAGUAGUC
RNAcentral lists this ribosomal RNA (464 nucleotides) under Vreelandella stevensii. RNAcentral's name for it is "partial 16S ribosomal RNA". It matches the Rfam family "Bacterial small subunit ribosomal RNA", at positions 338 to 795 of the family's 1533-position model. The record is from RNAcentral. Lineage: Bacteria; Pseudomonadati; Pseudomonadota; Gammaproteobacteria; Oceanospirillales; Halomonadaceae.